UGGUGGCGAUGGCGGAGGGGUUCCACGCGUACCCAUCCCGAACACGACCGUUAAGCCCUCCAGCGCCGAUGGUACUUGGACCGCAGGGUCCUGGGAGAGUAGGACGUUGCCAAGCA
Molecule: ribosomal RNA, 116 nt
Filed under: Paenibacillus thiaminolyticus
Lineage: Bacteria; Bacillati; Bacillota; Bacilli; Caryophanales; Paenibacillaceae
Source: RNAcentral